CCACGGCCUCCUCUUCCCACAGCUGCUGGCCCAGUUGGCCCGGGAGUGCCAGGAGCGGCGGGCCCGGCUGCCCCAGGAGAUCCGCUGCAGCCUGCUGGGCGGGACGCUGGAGGGGCUGGGGGACGGGCCCCUGGUGGCCUGCGCCAGCAACGGGCACGCGCCGGGCUCGGGCGGGCACGCGCCGGGCUCGGGCGGGCACGCGCCGGGCGCCGACCCCGAGAGCCAGGAGGAGAACACGCAGCUGUGAACUGGCCGAGCGAGGUGGCGCGGGGCCGGGGUGGGCGCCGGGCGCGGGCGGGAGGCCACCACACUAAUGCGUCCUUUUUUUAAAAAACAAAAAAACACACAAAAACAAAAAACCUUUUUAUCUUUAGAAAUUUUAUUUUUUUAAGCCCUGGGCAAGCAUCCCACACUAACUCCCUUCCUUCCUGCUCAGGGGCUCCCGGGCUUUCUUUAGUCCCUGGGGACUCUUCGCGAAUAAACGUGCAUUUCAGGGACCCUUGUGCAGCGUGCUUGGGGCCCCAGCUCUGCCUCUGCGCUUUCUGGGGGCUGUGGGUGCUGGCGGGGUGCAGGUCAGCCCCGGGACGCUCCUCCCGGGCAGGGGCUCCUCCCGGGCAGGGGCUCGCUGGCCUCCCCCGUCCCCGCCUCCCUCCCCCAGGCCCCGGCCUCAGCUCAGGAAACCUUCCCCGCCCCCCCUUCCUGUGGCCUGGCGUGACCCAGGCACCCAGCUCCUUCCGCUGGGCAGCUCGGCCGCGCGGGGGCUGGCGGUGCGGGCCGGGCCAGCUCAGAACCGGCCAAGGCGGGCGUGCGGACCCGGCAGGAGGGAGAGCUGUGCCUGUUUCACAGAUGAGCGCACUGAGGCCCAGGGCGGAAGUCCGGCGUGCUGGCCAGCCCGGAGGCCGCCGGUGCGGGCAGGGCAGGCUGGCACCCGAGGCCGGCUCUCCGCUCCCGCUUCCUCCCGCUUCCUCCCGAGGAAGCCGCCUCCUAGCGGGCCCGCUCUCCGCCAAUCGAGUGCUUGCUUUGCUUUUUUUAGUUUUGUUUUUUUUUUUUUUUAGCACCCUCGUGCAGAAGUGUGUAGGGGGAGGCCAGAGGAGCAGGGCGGCGGGGCCCAUGGGUCACUCCCGGCCCUCCUCCUCCUGCGCGCCCGCCGCCGGCUCCGCGCCCCCACGGCCGACCCCGUCUCCCCGUCGGAGGCACCGUAUGGGGGUCCACUCGCGGCCCGCGGGGCCGGGGCUCCUGCCGGGUCCCUGAGCGGCGCUGGCCCCCGGCCGACCGCACAGUAGCCGCUCGCGGGGCCUGACCCAGCUAGGAACAGUGACCUCCCCGGGGAGCCCGCAGGGUUGCGGCCGCGGCGCCUGGUCGCCACCCUGGGGACGAGGCCCUGCGUCCGGCCGCACGCCGCCUCGGCCCCUCGCCCAGCCUCCGUGACGGCGCGACCCUGGGCCUCGGGGCCCCAAACGACGGACAGAGGACACUCGGCGGCACAGAGGCUGGCUUUAUUGGCGCCCUGGGGCGCGCGCGUCGGCCGCGCCGCCCCGCGGGAGAAGGUUCCGGCGGAGCAGCCGUUAGCCCCGGCUCGCCACCUGCGCCGGGCGGGGCCGCAGGGCCACUUCCGGAGGAACGCCGGGACUCCGACGGCUGCGGCACGCACCGGAAGGGGCUCGGGCGUCCAGACUGCGGGACUUCCGCCCACACCCGAGAUGGCCGCCGCCGCCGACGGCAGCGGACUGGGUUUCGGGACUGUGGGGCCGAAGGUCACUGGGAAGGGGCGGAGCCUCCUUUCCCCAAAUUGCGAUCCCACCAAGACUGGAUGACGCGCGUCCAGCUGGAGCUUUCCCUCAUCUGCAUCGCUGUGCCCGCGCUCUUCGGGCGAGGCAGUCCCUUUGGGAUGGGAAGAGGAAAGGGUUAAAUGAGUCGCCUUUCCCCGGCGGUUCCGGUCAGGGUCCUCUCACUUCCGGAAUCCCCGGGAGAACAAUAAAGACCACAGUUCCCAGCA
This 1996-nucleotide long non-coding RNA is filed under the name Oryctolagus cuniculus (rabbit). RNAcentral's name for it is "lncRNA (ENSOCUG00000036741.1)". Lineage: Eukaryota; Metazoa; Chordata; Mammalia; Lagomorpha; Leporidae. The record is from RNAcentral.